RNAcentral lists this ribosomal RNA (449 nucleotides) under uncultured bacterium. Its description in RNAcentral is "partial 16S ribosomal RNA". It matches the Rfam family "Bacterial small subunit ribosomal RNA", at positions 29 to 523 of the family's 1533-position model. The record is from RNAcentral.
AACGAACGCUGGCGGCAUGCCUAACACAUGCAAGUCGAACGAGAUCUUCGGGUCUAGUGGCGCACGGGUGCGUAACGCGUGGGAAUCUGCCCUUUGGUUCGGAAUAACAGUUGGAAACGACUGCUAAUACCGGAUGAUGCCGAAAGGCCACAGAUUGAUCGCCAGAGGAUGAGCCCGCGUAGGAUUAGCGAGUUGGUGUGGUAAAGGCGCACCAAGGCGACGAUCCUUAGCUGGUCUGAGAGGAUGAUCAGCCACACUGGGACUGAGACACGGCCCAGACUCCUACGGGAGGCAGCAGUGGGGGAUAUUGGACAAUGGGCGAAAGCCUGACCCAGCAAUGCCGCGUGAGUGAUGAAGGCCUUAGGGUUGUAAAGCUCUUUUACCCGGGAUGAUAAUGACAGUACCGGGAGAAUAAGCUCCGGCUAACUCCGUGCCAGCCGCCGCGGUAA